RNAcentral lists this ribosomal RNA (253 nucleotides) under uncultured bacterium. Its description in RNAcentral is "partial 16S ribosomal RNA". It matches the Rfam family "Bacterial small subunit ribosomal RNA", at positions 524 to 776 of the family's 1533-position model. The record is from RNAcentral.
UACGUAGGGUGCAGGCGUUAAUCGGAAUUACUGGGCGUAAAGCGUGCGCAGGCGGUCUGCUAAGACAGGUGUGAAAUCCCCGGGCUUAACCUGGGAACUGCGCUUGUUACUGGCAGGCUGGAGUGUGGCAGAGGGGGGUGGAAUUCCACGUGUAGCAGUGAAAUGCGUAGAGAUGUGGAGGAACACCGAUGGCGAAGGCAGCCCCCUGGGCCGAACCUGACGCUGAGGCGCGAAGGCUAGGGGAGCGAACGGG